GACGAACGCUGGCGGCGUGCCUAAUACAUGCAAGUAGAACGCUGAAGCGAGGAGCUUGCUCUUCUUGGAUGAGUUGCGAACGGGUGAGUAACGCGUAGGUAACCUGCCUUGUAGCGGGGGAUAACUAUUGGAAACGAUAGCUAAUACCGCAUAACAAUAGGUGACACAUGUCAUUUAUUUGAAAGGGGCAAUUGCCCCACUACAAGAUGGACCUGCGUUGUAUUAGCUAGUAGGUGAGGUAACGGCUCACCUAGGCGACGAUACAUAGCCGACCUGAGAGGGUGAUCGGCCACACUGGGACUGAGACACGGCCCAGACUCCUACGGGAGGCAGCAGUAGGGAAUCUUCGGCAAUGGGGGCAACCCUGACCGAGCAACGCCGCGUGAGUGAAGAAGGUUUUCGGAUCGUAAAGCUCUGUUGUAAGUCAAGAACGAGUGUGAGAGUGGAAAGUUCACACUGUGACGGUAGCUUACCAGAAAGGGACGGCUAACUACGUG
Molecule: ribosomal RNA, 497 nt
Filed under: uncultured bacterium
Lineage: Bacteria
Description: partial 16S ribosomal RNA
Rfam family: Bacterial small subunit ribosomal RNA
Source: RNAcentral